RNAcentral lists this ribosomal RNA (238 nucleotides) under uncultured bacterium. RNAcentral describes it as "partial 16S ribosomal RNA". It matches the Rfam family "Bacterial small subunit ribosomal RNA", at positions 95 to 334 of the family's 1533-position model. The record is from RNAcentral.
CCGGCGCACGGUGAGUAACGCGUAUGCAACUUACCUAUCAGGAGGGGAUAACCGGCGAAAGUCGGACUAAUACCGCAUGAAGCAGGGGCCCCGCAUGGGGAUAUUUGCUAAAGAUUCAUCGCUGAUAGAUAGGCAUGCGUUCCAUUAGGCAGUUGGCGGGGUAACGGCCCACCAAACCGACGAUGGAUAGGGGUUCUGAGAGGAAGGUCCCCCACAUUGGUACUGAGACACGGACCAA